UGAGUAACCUGCCCUUAACUCUGGGAUAAGCCUGGGAAACUGGGUCUAAUACCGGAUAUGACUCCUCAUCGCAUGGUGGGGGGUGGAAAGCUUUUUGUGGUUUUGGAUGGACUCGCGGCCUAUCAGCUUGUUGGUGAGGUAACGGCUCACCAAGGCGACGACGGGUAGCCGGCCUGAGAGGGUGACCGGCCACACUGGGACUGAGACACGGCCCAGACUCCUACGGGAGGCAG
RNAcentral lists this ribosomal RNA (233 nucleotides) under uncultured bacterium. RNAcentral's name for it is "partial 16S ribosomal RNA". It matches the Rfam family "Bacterial small subunit ribosomal RNA", at positions 118 to 351 of the family's 1533-position model. The record is from RNAcentral.